GUGGGUAGUUUGACUGGGGCGGUCUCCUCCUAAAGAGUAACGGAGGAGCACGAAGGUUGGCUAAUCCUGGUCGGACAUCAGGAGGUUAGUGCAAUGGCAUAAGCCAGCUUGACUGCGAGCGUGACGGCGCGAGCAGGUGCGAAAGCAGGUCAUAGUGAUCCGGUGGUUCUGAAUGGAAGGGCCAUCGCUCAACGGAUAAAAGGUACUCCGGGGAUAACAGGCUGAUACCGCCCAAGAGUUCAUAUCGACGGCGGUGUUUGGCACCUCGAUGUCGGCUCAUCACAUCCUGGGGCUGAAGUAGGUCCCAAGGGUAUGGCUGUUCGCCAUUUAAAGUGGUACGCGAGCUGGGUUUAGAACGUCGUGAGACAGUUCGGUCCCUAUCUGCCGUGGGCGCUGGAGAACUGAGGGGGGCUGCUCCUAGUACGAGAGGACCGGAGUGGACGCAUCACUGGUGUUCGGGUUGUCAUGCCAAUGGCACUGCCCGGUAGCUAAAUGCGGAAGAGAUAAGUGCU
RNAcentral lists this ribosomal RNA (512 nucleotides) under Salmonella enterica subsp. enterica. Its description in RNAcentral is "partial 23S ribosomal RNA". It matches the Rfam family "Bacterial large subunit ribosomal RNA", at positions 2261 to 2772 of the family's 2925-position model. RNAcentral also lists the same sequence under 2 other names. The record is from RNAcentral. Lineage: Bacteria; Pseudomonadati; Pseudomonadota; Gammaproteobacteria; Enterobacterales; Enterobacteriaceae.